RNAcentral lists this ribosomal RNA (520 nucleotides) under uncultured bacterium. RNAcentral describes it as "bacterial SSU rRNA". It matches the Rfam family "Bacterial small subunit ribosomal RNA", at positions 120 to 674 of the family's 1533-position model. The record is from RNAcentral.
GGGAAUCUACCGUGCCCUGCGGAAUAGCUCCGGGAAACUGGAAUUAAUACCGCAUACGCCCUACGGGGGAAAGAUUUAUCGGGGUAUGAUGAGCCCGCGUUGGAUUAGCUAGUUGGUGGGGUAAAGGCCUACCAAGGCGACGAUCCAUGGCUGGUCUGAGAGGAUGAUCAGCCACAUUGGGACUGAGACACGGCCCAAACUCCUACGGGAGGCAGCAGUGGGGAAUAUUGGACAAUGGGCGCAAGCCUGAUCCAGCCAUGCCGCGUGAGUGAUGAAGGCCUUAGGGUUGUAAAGCUCUUUCACCGGAGAAGAUAAUGACGGUAUCCGGAGAAGAAGCCCCGGCUAACUUCGUGCCAGCAGCCGCGGUAAUACGAAGGGGGCUAGCGUUGUUCGGAAUUACUGGGCGUAAAGCGCACGUAGGCGGAUAUUUAAGUCAGGGGUGAAAUCCCAGAGCUCAACUCUGGAACUGCCUUUGAUACUGGGUAUCUUGAGUAUGGAAGAGGUAAGUGGAAUUGCGAGU